AGAGCGAACGCUGGCGGCAUGCUUAACACAUGCAAGUCGCACGGUUUGGGGCUUCGGCUCCGGGCAGUGGCGGACGGGUGAGUAACGCGUAGGGAUCUAUCCAAGGGUGGGGGACAACCGCGGGAAACUGCGGCUAAUACCGCAUGACGACUUUGACUGAGAGGUUGGGGUCCAAAGCUUUCACGAGCGCCUAUGGAGGAGCCUGCGUCCGAUUAGCUUGUUGGUGGGGUAAUGGCCUACCAAGGCGACGAUCGGUAGCUGGUCUGAGAGGACGAUCAGCCACAUUGGGACUGAGACACGGCCCAAACUCCUACGGGAGGCAGCAGUGGGGAAUAUUGGACAAUGGGCGCAAGCCUGAUCCAGCAAUGCCGCGUGGGUGAAGAAGGUCUUCGGAUUGUAAACGCCCUUUCGGACGGGGACGAUGAUGACGGUACCCGUAGAAGAACGCCCGGCUAACUUCGUGCCAGCAGCCGCGGUAA
RNAcentral lists this ribosomal RNA (479 nucleotides) under uncultured bacterium. RNAcentral's name for it is "SSU rRNA". It matches the Rfam family "Bacterial small subunit ribosomal RNA", at positions 26 to 523 of the family's 1533-position model. The record is from RNAcentral.